UCAAAGAAGCUUAUAUAAUGGUUGUAAUAUGGACAACGAGUUUCUACCUGUAAACCUUAAAUUUACAGACUAUAAGUGAUUAAAAUAUA
Molecule: non-coding RNA, 89 nt
Filed under: uncultured Fusobacterium sp.
Lineage: Bacteria; Fusobacteriati; Fusobacteriota; Fusobacteriia; Fusobacteriales; Fusobacteriaceae
Description: Purine riboswitch
Rfam family: Purine riboswitch aptamer
About the family: Riboswitches are metabolite binding domains within certain messenger RNAs that serve as precision sensors for their corresponding targets. Allosteric rearrangement of mRNA structure is mediated by ligand binding, and this results in modulation of gene expression. A class of riboswitches that selectively recognises guanine and becomes saturated at concentrations as low as 5 nM.
Source: RNAcentral